This 120-nucleotide non-coding RNA is filed under the name Apteryx rowi (Okarito brown kiwi). RNAcentral describes it as "U4atac minor spliceosomal RNA (ENSARWG00000010755.1)". It matches the Rfam family "U4atac minor spliceosomal RNA". Rfam says of the family: U4atac is an essential component of the minor U12-type spliceosome complex which is required for removal of the rarer class of eukaryotic introns (AT-AC, U12-type). These interacting stem loops have been shown to be required for in vivo splicing. U4atac also contains an 3' Sm protein binding site which has been shown to be essential for splicing activity. The record is from RNAcentral. Lineage: Eukaryota; Metazoa; Chordata; Aves; Apterygiformes; Apterygidae.
GCCGUCCUUAUCUUGGGGUUGCGCGGCUGCUCAAUGAACGCGUGGUGAGAGCAGCACUGCUAACGCCUAGAGCAACACGCAGCGCCCGUCGCUUUGCGGCGUGGCGCAAUUUUUGGAACC